Molecule: ribosomal RNA, 1197 nt
Filed under: metagenome
Description: SSU rRNA
Rfam family: Eukaryotic small subunit ribosomal RNA
Source: RNAcentral
AGUCUGGUGCCAGCAGCCGCGGUAAUUCCAGCUCCAAUAGCGUAUAUUAAAGUUGCUGCAGUUAAAAAGCUCGUAGUUGGAUCUGGGGCUUGAGGUCGCUGUCUAUCGUUUCGGCGAUGACGGUGAUGCUCAGCUCUGCUUGCCGGUGACUGUUGCGGUGUUCUUCACUGAGCGCUGUAGCAGCACGGCACGUUUACUUUGAAAAAAAUUAGAGUGCUCAAAGCGUGCUUGUCGCUUGAAUAAUGUUGCAUGGAAUAAUGGAAUAGGACCUCGGUUCUAUUUUGUUGGUUUUCGGAGCUUGAGGUAAUGAUUAAGAGGGACGAACGGGGGCAUUCGUAUUGCGGUGUUAGAGGUGAAAUUCUUGGAUCGCCGCAAGACGGACUACUGCGAAAGCAUUUGCCAAGAACGCUUUCAUUAAUUAAGAACGAAAGUCAGAGGUUCGAAGACGAUCAGACACCGUCCUAGUUCUGACCAUAAACGAUGCCGACCAGCGAUCCGUAGUGGUUGCUUUAUGGACCCUACGGGCAGCCUCCGGGAAACCAAAGUAUUUGGGUUCCGGGGGAAGUAUGGUUGCAAAGCUGAAACUUAAAGGAAUUGACGGAAGGGCACACCAGGAGUGGAGCCUGCGGCUUAAUUUGACCCAACACGGGAAAACUCACCCGGUCCGGACACCGUAAGGAUUGACAGACUGAUAGCUCUUUCUUGAUUCGGUGGAUGGUGGUGCAUGGCCGUUCUUAGUUGGUGGAGUGAUUUGUCUGGUUAAUUCCGAUAACGAACGAGACUCUAGCCUGCUAAGUAGUGUUGCUAUUGUUAUAUGGUUGACACUUCUUAGAGGGACAAGUGGCAUUUAGCCACGCGAAAUUGAGCAAUAACAGGUCUGUGAUGCCCUUAGAUGUCCGGGGCCGCACGCGCGCUACACUGGAGAAGUCAGCGUGUGUUAUCCAAGUCCGAAAGGACUGGGUAAUCCGUUGAACCUUCUUCGUGCUUGGGACUGUGGCUUGGAACUAUUCCACAUGAACGAGGAAUUCCUAGUAAUUGCAAGUCAUAAGCUUGCGUUGAUUACGUCCCUGCCCUUUGUACACACCGCCCGUCGCUACUACCGAUUGAAUGGUUUAGCAAGGUCCUCGGAUCGUGGCCGUAGGGGCACGCAAGUGUUUCUGCGGUUUGCGAGAAGACGACCAGACUUGAUCAUUUAGA